RNAcentral lists this transfer RNA (69 nucleotides) under Ctenolepisma villosum. Its description in RNAcentral is "Ctenolepisma villosa tRNA-Trp". The record is from RNAcentral. Lineage: Eukaryota; Metazoa; Arthropoda; Insecta; Zygentoma; Lepismatidae.
AAGACCUUAAGUUAAAUACAAACUAGCGGCCUUCAAAGCCACAAAUAAGAAAAUAUUCCUUAGGUCUUA